This 887-nucleotide ribosomal RNA is filed under the name Escherichia coli. RNAcentral describes it as "partial 23S ribosomal RNA". It matches the Rfam family "Bacterial large subunit ribosomal RNA", at positions 849 to 1735 of the family's 2925-position model. The record is from RNAcentral. Lineage: Bacteria; Pseudomonadati; Pseudomonadota; Gammaproteobacteria; Enterobacterales; Enterobacteriaceae.
CUGGUUCUCCCCGAAAGCUAUUUAGGUAGCGCCUCGUGAAUUCAUCUCCGGGGGUAGAGCACUGUUUCGGCAAGGGGGUCAUCCCGACUUACCAACCCGAUGCAAACUGCGAAUACCGGAGAAUGUUAUCACGGGAGACACACGGCGGGUGCUAACGUCCGUCGUGAAGAGGGAAACAACCCAGACCGCCAGCUAAGGUCCCAAAGUCAUGGUUAAGUGGGAAACGAUGUGGGAAGGCCCAGACAGCCAGGAUGUUGGCUUAGAAGCAGCCAUCAUUUAAAGAAAGCGUAAUAGCUCACUGGUCGAGUCGGCCUGCGCGGAAGAUGUAACGGGGCUAAACCAUGCACCGAAGCUGCGGCAGCGACGCUUAUGCGUUGUUGGGUAGGGGAGCGUUCUGUAAGCCUGCGAAGGUGUGCUGUGAGGCAUGCUGGAGGUAUCAGAAGUGCGAAUGCUGACAUAAGUAACGAUAAAGCGGGUGAAAAGCCCGCUCGCCGGAAGACCAAGGGUUCCUGUCCAACGUUAAUCGGGGCAGGGUGAGUCGACCCCUAAGGCGAGGCCGAAAGGCGUAGUCGAUGGGAAACAGGUUAAUAUUCCUGUACUUGGUGUUACUGCGAAGGGGGGACGGAGAAGGCUAUGUUGGCCGGGCGACGGUUGUCCCGGUUUAAGCGUGUAGGCUGGUUUUCCAGGCAAAUCCGGAAAAUCAAGGCUGAGGCGUGAUGACGAGGCACUACGGUGCUGAAGCAACAAAUGCCCUGCUUCCAGGAAAAGCCUCUAAGCAUCAGGUAACAUCAAAUCGUACCCCAAACCGACACAGGUGGUCAGGUAGAGAAUACCAAGGCGCUUGAGAGAACUCGGGUGAAGGAACUAGGCAAAAUGGUGCCGUAACU